This 2689-nucleotide ribosomal RNA is filed under the name Escherichia coli. RNAcentral's name for it is "23S ribosomal RNA". It matches the Rfam family "Bacterial large subunit ribosomal RNA". Lineage: Bacteria; Pseudomonadati; Pseudomonadota; Gammaproteobacteria; Enterobacterales; Enterobacteriaceae. The record is from RNAcentral.
UAACCGGCGAUUUCCGAAUGGGGAAACCCAGUGUGUUUCGACACACUAUCAUUAACUGAAUCCAUAGGUUAAUGAGGCGAACCGGGGGAACUGAAACAUCUAAGUACCCCGAGGAAAAGAAAUCAACCGAGAUUCCCCCAGUAGCGGCGAGCGAACGGGGAGGAGCCCAGAGCCUGAAUCAGUGUGUGUGUUAGUGGAAGCGUCUGGAAAGGCGCGCGAUACAGGGUGACAGCCCCGUACACAAAAAUGCACAUGCUGUGAGCUCGAUGAGUAGGGCGGGACACGUGGUAUCCUGUCUGAAUAUGGGGGGACCAUCCUCCAAGGCUAAAUACUCCUGACUGACCGAUAGUGAACCAGUACCGUGAGGGAAAGGCGAAAAGAACCCCGGCGAGGGGAGUGAAAAAGAACCUGAAACCGUGUACGUACAAGCAGUGGGAGCACGCUUAGGCGUGUGACUGCGUACCUUUUGUAUAAUGGGUCAGCGACUUAUAUUCUGUAGCAAGGUUAACCGAAUAGGGGAGCCGAAGGGAAACCGAGUCUUAACUGGGCGUUAAGUUGCAGGGUAUAGACCCGAAACCCGGUGAUCUAGCCAUGGGCAGGUUGAAGGUUGGGUAACACUAACUGGAGGACCGAACCGACUAAUGUUGAAAAAUUAGCGGAUGACUUGUGGCUGGGGGUGAAAGGCCAAUCAAACCGGGAGAUAGCUGGUUCUCCCCGAAAGCUAUUUAGGUAGCGCCUCGUGAAUUCAUCUCCGGGGGUAGAGCACUGUUUCGGCAAGGGGGUCAUCCCGACUUACCAACCCGAUGCAAACUGCGAAUACCGGAGAAUGUUAUCACGGGAGACACACGGCGGGUGCUAACGUCCGUCGUGAAGAGGGAAACAACCCAGACCGCCAGCUAAGGUCCCAAAGUCAUGGUUAAGUGGGAAACGAUGUGGGAAGGCCCAGACAGCCAGGAUGUUGGCUUAGAAGCAGCCAUCAUUUAAAGAAAGCGUAAUAGCUCACUGGUCGAGUCGGCCUGCGCGGAAGAUGUAACGGGGCUAAACCAUGCACCGAAGCUGCGGCAGCGACGCUUAUGCGUUGUUGGGUAGGGGAGCGUUCUGUAAGCCUGUGAAGGUGUGCUGUGAGGCAUGCUGGAGGUAUCAGAAGUGCGAAUGCUGACAUAAGUAACGAUAAAGCGGGUGAAAAGCCCGCUCGCCGGAAGACCAAGGGUUCCUGUCCAACGUUAAUCGGGGCAGGGUGAGUCGACCCCUAAGGCGAGGCCGAAAGGCGUAGUCGAUGGGAAACAGGUUAAUAUUCCUGUACUUGGUGUUACUGCGAAGGGGGGACGGAGAAGGCUAUGUUGGCCGGGCGACGGUUGUCCCGGUUUAAGCGUGUAGGCUGGUUUUCCAGGCAAAUCCGGAAAAUCAAGGCUGAGGCGUGAUGACGAGGCACUACGGUGCUGAAGCAACAAAUGCCCUGCUUCCAGGAAAAGCCUCUAAGCAUCAGGUAACAUCAAAUCGUACCCCAAACCGACACAGGUGGUCAGGUAGAGAAUACCAAGGCGCUUGAGAGAACUCGGGUGAAGGAACUAGGCAAAAUGGUGCCGUAACUUCGGGAGAAGGCACGCUGAUACGUAGGUGAAGUCCCUCGCGGAUGGAGCUGAAAUCAGUCGAAGAUACCAGCUGGCUGCAACUGUUUAUUAAAAACACAGCACUGUGCAAACACGAAAGUGGACGUAUACGGUGUGACGCCUGCCCGGUGCCGGAAGGUUAAUUGAUGGGGUCAGCGCAAGCGAAGCUCUUGAUCGAAGCCCCGGUAAACGGCGGCCGUAACUAUAACGGUCCUAAGGUAGCGAAAUUCCUUGUCGGGUAAGUUCCGACCUGCACGAAUGGCGUAAUGAUGGCCAGGCUGUCUCCACCCGAGACUCAGUGAAAUUGAACUCGCUGUGAAGAUGCAGUGUACCCGCGGCAAGACGGAAAGACCCCGUGAACCUUUACUAUAGCUUGACACUGAACAUUGAGCCUUGAUGUGUAGGAUAGGUGGGAGGCUUUGAAGUGUGGACGCCAGUCUGCAUGGAGCCGACCUUGAAAUACCACCCUUUAAUGUUUGAUGUUCUAACGUUGACCCGUGAUCCGGGUUGCGGACAGUGUCUGGUGGGUAGUUUGACUGGGGCGGUCUCCUCCUAAAGAGUAACGGAGGAGCACGAAGGUUGGCUAAUCCUGGUCGGACAUCAGGAGGUUAGUGCAAUGGCAUAAGCCAGCUUGACUGCGAGCGUGACGGCGCGAGCAGGUGCGAAAGCAGGUCAUAGUGAUCCGGUGGUUCUGAAUGGAAGGGCCAUCGCUCAACGGAUAAAAGGUACUCCGGGGAUAACAGGCUGAUACCGCCCAAGAGUUCAUAUCGACGGCGGUGUUUGGCACCUCGAUGUCGGCUCAUCACAUCCUGGGGCUGAAGUAGGUCCCAAGGGUAUGGCUGUUCGCCAUUUAAAGUGGUACGCGAGCUGGGUUUAGAACGUCGUGAGACAGUUCGGUCCCUAUCUGCCGUGGGCGCUGGAGAACUGAGGGGGGCUGCUCCUAGUACGAGAGGACCGGAGUGGACGCAUCACUGGUGUUCGGGUUGUCAUGCCAAUGGCACUGCCCGGUAGCUAAAUGCGGAAGAGAUAAGUGCUGAAAGCAUCUAAGCACGAAACUUGCCCCGAGAUGAGUUCUCCCU